CCGACGGUGAGGGAUGAAAGCUGGGGGCACGAACCGGAUUAGAUACCCGGGUAGUCCCAGCCGUAAACGAUGCUCGCUAGGUGUCUGGGAUGGUGCGACCGUUUCAGGUGCCGCAGGGAAGCCGUGAAGCGAGCCACCUUGGAAGUACGGCCGCAAGGCUGAAACUUAAAGGAAUUGGCGGGGGAGCGCUACAACGGGUGGAGCCUGCGGUUUAAUUGGACUCAACGCCGGAAAACUCACCUGGGGC
This 247-nucleotide ribosomal RNA is filed under the name uncultured archaeon. RNAcentral describes it as "partial 16S ribosomal RNA". It matches the Rfam family "Archaeal small subunit ribosomal RNA", at positions 691 to 937 of the family's 1478-position model. The record is from RNAcentral.